GCCCGCACGCACGGCGGCCCGCGCAGCGCGGAGGGCGGCCGCGCGCACCUGCCCGGCACCCGGAGCUGCGGCGGCGGGCGGUGACCCGGCGACGGCGCUGUGCGGGUGCCAGCCCGGAGCCCGAGGGAGGCUCCGGACGGGCCGGGUGGGUGGUUAUAUGUCAGAGGGAAACCAAGGUUGCUAAUCAGCUGAAACAGGGGGUCACUGUGCUUUUUCCAAUGUGAUCAAAGGCUCGUGCGUGAGGCGCCUCCUGUGUGCCGAGAUGAAAGCAGCCCGGUCCCGACCCUGAGGCUCGGCCUCCUCGGGGAGAGGAGGAUGUUCCUGGUGCCCAGGUGCCGCCGCUGGGCGCCGGGACCGUCCACACUGCAGGUGCGCUCGGCGGCCUGCGGUGUGUCGCCCUGCGCCCUGCGCCGCAGACUUGGGGAAGUGCGGCCGAGGAAGCGACGUGGAGAGCCACUGGCCUCGUGGCAAAGGGCCUCUGGUUCAGGCUAGAGGGACAGGGACGCUGUGAGCAAGUGACUGCCCUGGUGCUGCCGAGCCGGCCUCCGCGAGCCUGUGGGGAGGCAGGAAGAACCCCAGGGGUAUUGGGUUGGAACUAGAGGUGUCAACGUGAAGUCGAGAAUUAAAAAAAAAAUCUCUUCCCCAGCUUUGCUGGAAAGACCUCAGGUAGUGACAUUACAGAACUCCUCUGGAGCCAUGGUCGGAUCAUUUCUGAGUAACCCCCCACCCAGAGGAGCCAGGGGUUUUUGGAGAAAGGCCAGUUCCAGGGCUGGGCAAGGAAAGUACAAGAUGAGCCUACAACAUCUUGCUGACCUAAGAGAGAAGUCAGUGUUCAAAAAGAUAGGAGUCGGUCAAAAGUUCACAGGACACAGUUGAAAGAGCUCCCGCAGGCCAAUUCUGGAACCGUUGAGCAUGCUGGACAAAAGUGGGAACAACUGAAAUUUCCGUCAGGAGUAGAAUGGGGAACUUGUGGUGCGGUGUAAUCCUACAGUGGAUGACUGGCCCCAGGGCACCAGAGAAGAAUUCCUUGGUAUAUGAAACAACAGGCAAAUCUCACAGUCAAAAUGACAAAUAAACCAAACACAAAAGACAUAUGUUGUAGGAUUUGAUUUAUAUGCAGUUCAAGGACAAGCAAGACCAUCUAUAGUGACAGAAGUCAGAAUAGUACUUACUUGGGACACCAGGGGACCCUCCAGAGUGGAGGAAACACCCUCUGUCUUUACCUGAUAGUACAGACAGAAGGACAGACAUGGACACGGGUGCAGGCCCACUUCAUGGGUGUGCACAGGGUCCUGUGCUCAGAAGGGCCCCACACUUGAGUGAGUUCCUGAUGCCCACUCUUCUGUCCUCUAAGAGUUCCAGCCUCCCUCAGCCUCUGCCCCACCCCCACCCAAUGACUACCAGGUUCUGGGCACAGCCAGGAAGAGGGUCAGGAUGGACACUCACGUCAGUGUCACGAAAGACCCCUUCCGCACACACACACAAAAAAAAGACUGAAAGAACUGUUCUUUUAGAUAAAGGAGAUGAGAGAGAUUUGAUGGCUAAAUACAACACGGGAUUCUGGAUUGAACUCUGCAUCAUUAAAGAAAGCCAGAGAAGACAUCCCUGAGACAAUCUGCAAUGUUUGAACGAUAUUGGACGAUAAUGUGGUAGUGACUGUAAGUUUCCUGAAUUUGAAAACGGUACUGUGAUUGUGUGAAAGAACCUGCUUUGGUUUAUAUGGCUCACGCUGAGGCAUUCGAGGGUGAAGAACUAUGUCUGCAACUUGUUUUCAGAUGAUUUUACCAAAAACACCACACCAGCAUAACACUACCGCAAACGCACAGUAUGUACCCACCAGGAGAGAAAACGUGGCAGGAGCCACUGUAGGUGCGUGUAGGUGACGGUGCAUGCUUAUUCGUUUCCAUUGCUGCCAUGACAGAGAGUCACAGGCUCAGGCCUACAGGUCGCUCGCUGGACUGAAAUGAAGGAGGGGACCAAGCUGUGUCCCUUUCCAGAGCCUCCAGCUCUGGGAAAUCUGUUUCCCCACUUUCUCCAGCUCUUCUGUUUGCUUUUGGCUCUUUCUAGAGGGACCCACGACCUUCAGCUCAUGGUCCUGAUCCAUCUUUAGACUCAGCAUGGCUAGGGAAGCCUUCCUCACAACGUAUCCCUCUGACAUGGACUCUUCUGCCUCCUUCUUCCACUUUUACGGACCCUUUGAUUACAUUGGAAAAAUCACAGUGAUCCCCCUGUUUCAGCUGAUUAGCAACCUUAGUUUCCCUCUGACAUAUAACAUAGUCACAGGUUCUGGGGAUCAAACAUGGACAUCUUGCUGGGCGCAAUGGGACAUGCCUGUGAUCCCAGCCACUCUGGAGGGAGGCUGCAGCAAGAGGAUCACAAGCUUGAGGCCCGCCUGGGCAACUUAGUGAGACUCUAUGUCAAAAUUUAAAGUGCUGGGGAUGUAGCUUGGUGGUAGAGCACCCUGGGUUUAAUCCGAAAAACCAAAAAAUAAGUGGACAUUUUGGAGAGUCAUGAUCCUACCACCACAAUUGUAGCAAGCUUUUCAAUAAGUUCAUUUUUCCCCCCAGAAGAAAAAACUUGUAACAUAGAAAAUCCCUAGAAAUCUGCAAAAAGGCCACUAAAGCCUGUGAGUUUAGCAAGCUGGUAGGAUACAAAGGCCAAGAAACAAACUGAGACAAUUGGAAGUUAAAUUUUUCAAUGGCAUCAAAAAAACAGGAAGUACUUAGAACAAAUCUAAGAAAAUCUAAGCAAGGUUUUUAUACCAUAAGCUACAACACAUUGAUGAGAGAAAUUAAAGAAACAGGGGUGUACCAGGUUUGUGGACUGGGAGCCCCAACAUUGUUAGGAAGCCCCUCCCCUGAACCGCAGUCAGAGUCAGAAAAACCCCAGCACAAAACCUCACUGGACCCAGAAAUUGAUGGGCUGGUUCUAAAAUUUGGAAAUGCAAAGAGCCUAGAAGACUCAAAAGAAUUCUAAGAACAGAACUUGGAGGGUUCGAACCUCCUGACUUUAAGGCUCAUUCAAAAGCUCCUUAACUCACAGCUGUAAAAUAGGGACUGUGUGGCAUCCACGUCCUAUAGAAAUGCAGGUAAGUGGAGUCCAUUAGCAGUCCCGGGAAUAGAAGCAAGCCUGAGGUCAAGCGCUGUCUUAAAGAAACCCCCAAAGAGCAGAAUGAAAAAGGUCCACCAGCGCCGGCUUCCAUUUCAGAUGAACACCCUGUCCCCAGGUGUGUGAGAGUCUGCAAGGUCCUUGGUCUCCCGCGCGGUCUCAGAGGCCGCCCAGAGACUGGCCCGCGGGUCGCUGUCCGAGGUGCUGAAUGCUCGCGGCCGCGGCUGAUCUCCUGCCCUCCCAUAGGCCCUGGGUAAACUCACUCUGGGGACCCUGGGUUUGCUUUGUCUACGUUCUGUCUUGAGGCACAUUCUCCUGUUUGUGUGCACUGUUAGGUUUUUUAAGGUUAAUUACUUGUUGGUUAUGAAAAUGUCAAACAUACACAAAACCAGAAUGGUGUCGUGACUCACCUGUCCCUAUCACCCUAUGUCCACAAUCAUCCAGCCCUGUUACAUCCCCGACCACCACUAAACACAUGCACAGUAUCCUGAAACUAACCAGAUGUGUCUUAUCAUGUAACUCAUAAAUGCCUGGUUGAUGGGUCGCUAAGAGACAAGAACUCAAACCACAUUCCCAGGGGUCAGCCACUGAAAGGCAGCGGUGCCCUUUAACCUGGCUGAACACCAGCUGCUGUCGCGAUCCCAUCUGCAGUUGGGAUGCGAGUCCUGGGGGCUGAGACACUGCUGGGGGGCCUAAUCCAGCCAUGGUAGUGCGAGGACAGAGGUCACCCCAACUGCAGCUCUGUUGCUACAGAGGACAUUGUGCAAGUCUGGAACCCAAGAUGCUGACUCAGGUGGCCACACCCACGUGGUGGCCCCUGAAAACACUAGUGUCCAGGGACUACAGGAUUCAGGCACACUCCCGCCAGGGCAGGUCUAGGUGAAGACUAAUUGCUUCAGAAUCUCUGUAGAAGAACCCGAGCGUGUUCCUGCCCAGCAUUCUACUGUCCUGUCAGGGCACAGCCACAGCUGGCCUGGCUGGCUGUGUGGCCCACAGUUCUCUAACCCCAGGGGGUUACCCCAAUCUACCGUGCACCUACAGUCCCCCCAGGAAUGGUUUUCCUGCCAGCCCAGCCCUAGCGUCCAUGAAGACCGAGGCCAGAGGCCAGCUCCUGAAGUCCUCUCUCCCCCUCUUGGCACAGGGACAUGGAUCAACUGUGUUGGGGCUCGGGUGUAGCUGGAGGUGCCUCAGAAAGCAGCUCAUCUUAAAGACAAGAGGCUGAUCAAGGAGGGACUUGCUCAGUGUCUCGGUCGGAGCAGGUCGCCGUGCAGCUGUGGUGGCCUGGGAGCUUCCUGCUGCCCGAGCACAGUCUUGGUGCUGCCAGCCUGCCGCCUUCCCUCCUGAGCGUGGUCUCCCUCCCCGGGAGAAGCAGUGCUGACCUCCCAGGCUUGCUCUGAGAAUCAAGAGGCUGCUGGGCUCCACAGGCUUGAGGGGUGUCCCCUUGGGGUGAGGUUCCCUGUUGCCUCCACGGAGGUGGCAAAGGAGCAGGGGGUCCCUGGGGCAGGCGUCUGCCUUGGGUGUCAGGAGACAUCCACCAGAUGGCCCUCAUCUUCAGCACUCAGCUUGGCGGGGAGGCUGGACGCCAGCCCGGGAGGUGGCCCAGGACUGGAAGCCACAGCUGCCUGCAGGCUGCAGAGGCCCCUGGUGGGCUAGUGGGGGAAGAGGGAGGCCAUGACCUCUGCACACCUGCAGGAGGCCAUGGCUCGGGGCCAGAGGGGGCUCCAGCACCCACAGACGGGUCCCUCACAGCUCCCUGCUCCUCAUCCAGCACCCCCCCAGGCUGCCGUGAGGCUGAGGGGAAGCCGGGGGCGGUGCCUCCAUGUCCCCCGGGGCCUUUCUGGGCACUGACUCUAUGUUUGACAGGGACUGUGAAGAGCAUUCAAUUGUUUCAAGUAAAUACCCUGAGGAGCGUGGACACCGGUCCAUUUACACAGGGCAAUGGCUCUGAGAGGUGAGGGCUUCCCUGGUCACAUCCAUGCCAGUCGCAGAGAUGGGACUCAAAGCCCAGUAGGACUGAAUGCAGAGCCCAGGAUGUGUCCUCUGCUCUGGAGCAUCUCAGGGUCCCGUGUAGGGUGAGCACAGGUAACUCCGGGAGCACAGGGCAGGGGAUGCUGACUCAGAUCAGCUCUGGGGCUGUGAGUGCCGCCACCCCAGGCCAAGGAAGGCACAGCCAUCUGAUGCACCCACUGCAGGGAGGCUUGGUCAAACUCAUUCAUCCUGAGGCUACAUUAAUAGAGACAGUGAGGGGAGGUGGGAGGUGAGAGUCAAUUUAGAUCCAGUGCUGGUCCUACCAUCCUGGGUGCUGCUGGACCCCUUGUUCUCAGAGGGACGUGGACAAACCAGGACUGAGGGGCUGCAGGG
This 5469-nucleotide long non-coding RNA is filed under the name Marmota monax (woodchuck). The record is from RNAcentral. Lineage: Eukaryota; Metazoa; Chordata; Mammalia; Rodentia; Sciuridae.